This 301-nucleotide ribosomal RNA is filed under the name uncultured bacterium. RNAcentral's name for it is "partial 16S ribosomal RNA". It matches the Rfam family "Bacterial small subunit ribosomal RNA", at positions 509 to 808 of the family's 1533-position model. The record is from RNAcentral.
CAGCACCGCGGUAAUACGUAGGGUGCAAGCGUUAAUCGGAAUUACUGGGCGUAAAGCGUGCGCAGGCGGUUAUAUAAGACAGAUGUGAAAUCCCCGGGCUCAACCUGGGAACUGCAUUUGUGACUGUAUAGCUAGAGUACGGCAGAGGGGGAUGGAAUUCCGCGUGUAGCAGUGAAAUGCGUAGAUAUGCGGAGGAACACCGAUGGCGAAGGCAAUCCCCUGGGCCUGUACUGACGCUCAUGCACGAAAGCGUGGGGAGCAAACAGGAUUAGAUACCCCCGUAGUCCCUGUCUCUUAUACA